GGGUGCGGUCAUACCAACACUAAUGCACCGGAUCCCAUCAGAACUCCGCAGUUAAGAGUGUUUGGGCGAGAGUAGUACUAGGAUGGGUGACCUCCUGGGAAGUCCUCGUGUUGCACCCCUUU
Molecule: ribosomal RNA, 122 nt
Filed under: Castanea mollissima (Chinese chestnut)
Lineage: Eukaryota; Viridiplantae; Streptophyta; Magnoliopsida; Fagales; Fagaceae
Source: RNAcentral